RNAcentral lists this ribosomal RNA (329 nucleotides) under uncultured eukaryote. RNAcentral describes it as "partial 18S ribosomal RNA". It matches the Rfam family "Eukaryotic small subunit ribosomal RNA", at positions 1470 to 1796 of the family's 1831-position model. The record is from RNAcentral.
CCCUUAGAUGUUCUGGGCUGCACGCGCGCUACACUGAUGCAUCCAACAAGUUUUUUCCCUUGUCCGGUAGGACUGGGUAAUCUUUUGAGUAUGCAUCGUGAUGGGGAUAGAUUAUUGCAAUUAUUAAUCUUCAACGAGGAAUGCCUAGUAAGCGCAAGUCAUCAGCUUGCGUUGAUUACGUCCCUGCCCUUUGUACACACCGCCCGUCGCUCCUACCGAUUGAAUGGUCCGGUGAAGCGUUCGGACCGUGGCCUUUGGACGGUUCGCCGUCUGUUGGCUGCGGGAAGUUCGUUAAACCUUAUCAUUUAGAGGAAGGAGAAGUCGUANCA